AUGAUACAUUUUUCAGAUCUGUUAGCCAGGGCUGAAAGAUUGGUAUCCGAAGACAACCAAGAAACUGAAAAAGCAGUAAAAGCAUUGCUGUGUUCUGAAACCCCACUCCCCGUGCAGGGGACAAAUUGCUGUGUAACUGAAACCCCACUCCCCGUGCAGGGGACAAAUUGCUGUGUAACUGAAAUUGGUGAAAUUGAGAUUGAGAGGGAAACCUCGGCACUUCAACAUGGGACUGACUCAAGUAAGCAGACGAACAAACUCUCCAGAAGACGUGUGAGACAGCCAGGAGGACCGAAGUCGACUGUACAAGAACCAUCAAAACAGAACCUUCAAACGUGCGCCUCUCUGAGCACUGUGACUCCCACGGCCUUUCCACCCUCCCGUGAACCUUCUGCCCCUGCGAGGAGACGUAGAAUACGGCAAGCGUGUACCACUCUGACCCCUGUACUUACAGCGGGACCCACGGCAGCUCCACUCUCCCUUUCACCAGAUCCUUUCGAACCUGCGAGGCCGAUAAGGAGACGUAGGAACCAGAGACACAAGUCUAACAUUGUCAGGAGAUUGUUUGAUGAUUCAGGGUUGAGAUUAAACGAGAGCGUUCCUGAACCGUCCUUCGACCGGGUGGAGGGGGAUACGGGGGGCAACGAUCAUUCCCAACAACAGCACGAGCACCACGAGAGCGUUCCUGAACCGCUCUUUGACAGGGUGGAGGAGGAUACAGGCUGCUACAUUCAUUCCCAACACCCCCAAGACAAGGUAGUGCUGGAGAUUUUCAAUAAUGUCAUACGGUAUAUUGUUUCCUCCAAUUGUAACCAAAGGUGUACUAAAACAGUGUUGAAAAAGCUGUAAUUUUUUUUUUCCUUUUUCUGUCUUUUGUUUAAGAUAUGGAUGAGGAUUUCAAUGUUGAAUAUUUUAAUCAAGUACCGAAUGCUUUACAAAUAGCUGUUGAUCAAUUAAGUGAUGAGGAUUUCAAUGUUGAAUAUUUUAAUCAAGUACCGAAUGCUUUACAAAUAGCUGUUGAUCAAUUAAGUGAUGAGGAUUUCAAUGUUGAAUAUUUUAAUCAAGUACCGAAUGCUUUACAAAUAGCUGUUGAUCAAUUAAGUGAAAUUCCAAUCUCCAUUCCAAUAAAUUUACAAUUUACAGAGCAAAAUGAAAACGUCCUAGAACUUGACACCUUACAACUCAUAAAUGAUGCCCUCGAAAACCUUAAUGCAGUUAAUGCAGUAGAGUUUGAAAAUCAUUCUCCUUCAUCAGCUCUCCACACGCAAAGUGAUCAUGUCUUACACGCGGUAACAAUCAGAUCAGAGACGGAUUCAGCAGAGACACAAUCGGCU
This 1334-nucleotide long non-coding RNA is filed under the name Takifugu rubripes (torafugu). Its description in RNAcentral is "lncRNA (ENSTRUG00000026327.1)". Lineage: Eukaryota; Metazoa; Chordata; Actinopteri; Tetraodontiformes; Tetraodontidae. The record is from RNAcentral.